Molecule: ribosomal RNA, 497 nt
Filed under: uncultured bacterium
Lineage: Bacteria
Description: partial 16S ribosomal RNA
Rfam family: Bacterial small subunit ribosomal RNA
Source: RNAcentral
GAUGAACGCUGGCGGCGUGCUUAAUACAUGCAAGUCGAACGGACAGACGAGAAUGUUGGGUCCCUGAGUUUAGCAGCGGACGGGAGAGUAACACUUGGAUAACCUUCAUUUUGGACUGGGAUAAGUUCGGUAAAGCUGAUCCAGUACAGGAGGUUCUUCUGAAUGGCAGGGGUCAGAAGUGUAAGACGGUCUGGGUGGGACUUGUGGAUUGUUCGACGCUGCAUUAGAUAGUUGGUAAGGUAACGACUUACCAAGGCAACGAUGGAUAGCCGACCUGUGAGAGUGAUAGGCCACCCUGGAGCUGGGCCACGGUCCAGGCUCCUACGGGAGGCAGCAGUAGGGAAUCUUCGGCAAUGGGCGAAAGCAUGACGGAACAACGGCGAGUGAGUGAUGACGGUCUUCGGAUCGUAAAAAUCUGUUAUUAGGGAAGAACAUAUGUGUAAGUAAAUGUGCACAUAUUGACGGUAACUAAUCAGAAAGCAACGGCUAACUACGUG